This 616-nucleotide ribosomal RNA is filed under the name uncultured bacterium. Its description in RNAcentral is "bacterial SSU rRNA". It matches the Rfam family "Bacterial small subunit ribosomal RNA", at positions 57 to 670 of the family's 1533-position model. The record is from RNAcentral.
GCAAGUCGAACGGUAACAUUUCUAGCUUGCUAGAAGAUGACGAGUGGCGGACGGGUGAGUAAUGCUUGGGAACUUGCCUUUGCGAGGGGGAUAACAGUUGGAAACGACUGCUAAUACCGCAUAAUGUCUUCGGACCAAACGGGGCUUCGGCUCCGGCGCAAAGAGAGGCCCAAGUGAGAUUAGCUAGUUGGUAAGGUAACGGCUUACCAAGGCGACGAUCUCUAGCUGUUCUGAGAGGAAGAUCAGCCACACUGGGACUGAGACACGGCCCAGACUCCUACGGGAGGCAGCAGUGGGGAAUAUUGCACAAUGGGGGAAACCCUGAUGCAGCCAUGCCGCGUGUGUGAAGAAGGCCUUCGGGUUGUAAAGCACUUUCAGUUGUGAGGAAAAGUUAGUAGUUAAUACCUGCUAGCCGUGACGUUAACAACAGAAGAAGCACCGGCUAACUCUGUGCCAGCAGCCGCGGUAAUACGGAGGGUGCGAGCGUUAAUCGGAAUUACUGGGCGUAAAGCGCACGCAGGCGGUUUGUUAAGCUAGAUGUGAAAGCCCCGGGCUCAACCUGGGAUGGUCAUUUAGAACUGGCAGACUAGAGUCUUGGAGAGGGGAGUGGAAUUCC